RNAcentral lists this ribosomal RNA (1506 nucleotides) under Triticum aestivum (bread wheat). RNAcentral's name for it is "partial small subunit ribosomal RNA". The record is from RNAcentral. Lineage: Eukaryota; Viridiplantae; Streptophyta; Magnoliopsida; Poales; Poaceae.
AUGUCGCACAACAUUUUCCCCUGGCUCGCCGUGCCGCCGCCGGCCCCGGCCCCGGCCCCGGUUGCCGCGUACUACCAAGACGACGAGCCGGUGGAGGACAAGAAACCCCUGGCGAACAACGGCCGGGGGUUGGUCCUCAAGACCCACUGCGAGUUCCCGGCCAUCGGAAGGGGCACGUCCAGGGACAAGUUCGCGGUGCUCGUCCACGCCAAGGCGCCCGCCGACGUGGCGCGCGCGCCGCUCGACCUCGUCACCGUGCUCGAUGUCAGCGGCAGCAUGAAUGGCGAAAAGCUGGCGCUGCUGAAACAGGCCAUGGGCUUCGUCAUCGAUCAGCUCGGCCCCGCCGAUCGCCUCUCCGUCGUGUUCUUCUCGGAUCGGGCGGGCCGCCUGACCCGCCUCGCGCGCAUGUCGGGCGCCGGCAAGGCCUCGGCUAAGCUUGCCGUGGAGUCCCUUGUUGCCUUAGCGGGCACGAACAUCCGCGAGGGCCUCCAUGUGGGCGCCCAGGUGCUCGUCGGCCGCCGCCACAAGAACUCCGUCGCCAGCAUGAUCCUUCUCUCCGACGGCCAGGACUCGUAUGUCAGGGGCAACUACAUGGACCUUGUGCCACCCUCGUUCAAGGACGCUGGGAGCCGGCCCGGGCCGAUCCACACGUUCGGCUUCGGCGCCACCCACGACGCCGCGGCAUUGCACACCGUCGCGGAGGCCACGGGCGGCACCUUCUCCUUCGUCGGGAACCAGGCGGCUAUCCAGAACUCGUUUGCACAGUGCAUCGGCGGGCUUCUGUCGGAAGUCAAGUCCGGCUGCUACAGCAACCACGUGGACGCCGACGGCCGCGCUGCCUCCAUCGACGUCGGAGAGCUCUAUGACGACGAGGAGAGGCGCUUCUUGGUGCUUGUGUACGUGCCGAGAGCCCGGCCCACGGAGUCGGUCACCCGCCUGGUCAAGGUGACCUGCGCCUACAAGGACGCCGCGACAGGGCAGGCCGCCAACGCAGCCGCACCCGCGGCGGUGAUCCAGAGGCCGCUGGAGCUGACGGACCUGCCGCCUCCGUGCAUGGAGGUGGAGCGGGAGCGCGUGCGCCUCGCCGCGACCCAGGACAUCGCGGCCGCACGGGAUGCCGCUGAAGGCGGGCAACACGCCGGGGCUGCGCGGAUACUGGACUCCCGGCUGAAGGCCGUGGAGCGGUCGGCGCCCGGGAUGGCGGGAGAUGAUCCCACGUGUGAGGCGAUCAAGGAGGAGCUGCGCGACCUUAGCGCCCGCGUGGGCGACCGGCGGGAGUACCAGCAGACGGGGCGCGCGACCCUUCUGGCCGGCAUGAGCUCGCACUCGCAGCAGCGAGCCUCGGCGGUGGAGCUGCAGUCGGCGAGCAAGCCCCGGGCGUACCUGACCCCCAAGAUGGAGGAGAUGGUGGAGACGUCGCGUGAGCAGAGCAGGAAGCGUGGCAACAGCAGCGGAUCCACCCAGCAGCUUAAUAAACACAUCAAGCAAGACCUGAUCGACGGCUAA